This 465-nucleotide ribosomal RNA is filed under the name Vreelandella stevensii. RNAcentral's name for it is "partial 16S ribosomal RNA". It matches the Rfam family "Bacterial small subunit ribosomal RNA", at positions 338 to 795 of the family's 1533-position model. Lineage: Bacteria; Pseudomonadati; Pseudomonadota; Gammaproteobacteria; Oceanospirillales; Halomonadaceae. The record is from RNAcentral.
CCUACGGGCGGCAGCAGUGGGGAAUAUUGGACAAUGGGGGGAACCCUGAUCCAGCCAUGCCGCGUGUGUGAAGAAGGCCCUCGGGUUGUAAAGCACUUUCAGUGAGGAAGAACGCCUGGUGGUUAAUACCCAUCAGGAAAGACAUCACUCACAGAAGAAGCACCGGCUAACUCCGUGCCAGCAGCCGCGGUAAUACGGAGGGUGCGAGCGUUAAUCGGAAUUACUGGGCGUAAAGCGCGCGUAGGUGGCUUGAUAAGCCGGUUGUGAAAGCCCCGGUCUCAACCUGGGAACGGCAUCCGGAACUGUCAAGCUAGAGUGCAGGAGAGGAAGGUAGAAUUCCCGGUGUAGCGGUGAAAUGCGUAGAGAUCGGGAGGAAUACCAGUGGCGAAGGCGGCCUUCUGGACUGACACUGACACUGAGGUGCGAAAGCGUGGGUAGCAAACAGGAUUAGAUACCCUUGUAGUC